Long non-coding RNA from Uranotaenia lowii, 527 nucleotides. RefSeq lists it as uncharacterized. The transcript is spliced from 2 exons. Lineage: Eukaryota; Metazoa; Arthropoda; Insecta; Diptera; Culicidae. The record is from RefSeq and is a predicted model, not a curated record.
GAGAGUAUACGCGGCCCGAUUUUGCUCAUUUCAGCGGACCGAUUUUGCGAUUGUUGGAGGUUAUUCGACGGGUUAACUGCUAUCCGUUAUGUGACGCCAAAGUCGACAUGCUGGUUGAAGAUGCCAUACAGCAGCAACAGGGCCACGCAGUUUCGAGCGACCAGCAACCGGGUCAGGUUGCGGAUGCAACUAGAACUUCUGUGCAGUGUCAGCCGGAAUCAUCCGAAAUUCAGCGGAACUUGCGCGAAAUAUGCCAGCUGCUGUGGAGUUCCACGAUCAAACAGGAGGUUUUCCGCCGCUGGUCCAAGACUUUGGCCUCAGUGAGUCGGAACCGUUUUCCCUGGUGCAGCGCAGCGAGAAGGAGGAUUGUAUGCGUCAUUGCCCCGGUUCAAACUUAUCUGCUAAAGAUGCUGCUCAUGGCCCCGGUCAGACAGUGAAGUUUUUUUUUCUAUUUGCUGCCUAUACUUUUCCAACCAAAAAAAUUUAAAAAAAAUAAAUUUUCGCUAAAUAAACAGUUUUUUCACUUA